RNAcentral lists this non-coding RNA (29 nucleotides) under Mus musculus (house mouse). The record is from RNAcentral. Lineage: Eukaryota; Metazoa; Chordata; Mammalia; Rodentia; Muridae.
GCCUCAAAGGAUGUUGUGACAGGUGAAGU